Culex quinquefasciatus (southern house mosquito) is the source of this 371-nucleotide long non-coding RNA. RefSeq lists it as uncharacterized. The transcript has 3 exons. Lineage: Eukaryota; Metazoa; Arthropoda; Insecta; Diptera; Culicidae. The record is from RefSeq and is a predicted model, not a curated record.
GGCGAGCAAACCCCUCGGCGAUCUAGACUAUUAUUUGAUCUCCCCCUCACCCUCGGGAGUGUCAAUAGGGCACAAGUAGACGAACGAAGGAAGAACGUCAAGAUCGAGGAGAACGGCAGAUCAUUCUCGACGUGACAUAGUAGAAUUAGUCCACCAUUUACAAAUUAGCGCUCGUUUUUAAAUUUAUUCUUAUUUGUACGGCUAGCUAUCGAAAGCGAACAGAACAUUUUAAUCUGAAUUCUGCUUGAUCGGCUGCGGCAAAAUUAAUUCAAUAGAAACUAGUUAAUAGCUGACUCAUUUGGUACAUCUACUAUUGUUCACACCAGCACCAACUUGAAUCGUACCAACAGCGAACCCCUACAAAGUUCUGG